Molecule: ribosomal RNA, 253 nt
Filed under: uncultured bacterium
Lineage: Bacteria
Description: partial 16S ribosomal RNA
Rfam family: Bacterial small subunit ribosomal RNA
Source: RNAcentral
UACAGAGGUCCCAAGCGUUGUUCGGAUUCACUGGGCGUAAAGGGUGCGUAGGCGGCGGGGAAAGUUCUAGGUGAAAUCUCCAGGCUCAACUUGGAAAAUGCCUCGAAAACUUCCUCGCUCGAGGGUUGCAGAGGAGAUUGGAAUUCUCGGUGUAGCAGUGAAAUGCGUAGAUAUGCGGAGGAACACCGAUGGCGAAGGCAAUCCCCUGGGCCUGUACUGACGCUCAUGCACGAAAGCGUGGGGAGCAAACAGG